GAAGUGCGAAAAGUGUCAUGACUUGCAGAUUCCCGAGAGCUGACAAAUCUCUGAAUGCAAACGGCGGACCGGUAAAAACGGCCAUGUAUUGCAGAGUGUAGUUGUUCCUACUCUUCAUCCCCCACAUCUGUAUAUAUCCUCGAUGCAAUGUGGUGUUUGGGAUCUGCGCUUGCAAUGAUGUACAUACGUUGCGAGUGUUGAAUUGGAGUGUCUACACAUGGAUUCUCAGAAAUGGGAAUAACCUGUAGACAGCUUCGCAAGCGAAUGCAUAUAGAUGUGAAGUUGAAUACUCUCCAAUCUUAUCUACACCUACCUCUGCAAUGCAAGAGAACCCGCUGAACUUAA
RNAcentral lists this unclassified non-coding RNA (345 nucleotides) under uncultured fungus. Its description in RNAcentral is "sequence contains ITS1". The stretch from base 1 to 101 matches the Rfam family "5.8S ribosomal RNA", at positions 50 to 154 of the family's 154-position model. The record is from RNAcentral. Lineage: Eukaryota; Fungi.